CCGUCUUUUCUUCUUUGUGGCAGCUAAAUUAGGAAUAGCACUGAGCUGCAAGGACUACAAAAAGCUAACAUUAGAUCUCUGAUAUGGAAAACUACCCAAUUUCACUAUAAAUGAACUUCUUACUUGGAGAGUUAAGAAAAUGAGACAUCAGGAGAUGCCAGAUAUCUUGUAAACAGUUUGGUCUCCACUGCUUAAUGCCUUACCAAAUUUGCAUCUCUCUAACUGGCCCAAUACCAAGCGGCAAGUGGUUUCCCCUCCUUCCGUCCUGCAGAAUAAAGAAAAUGGACUGGUAGUUCAGGGAAACAGCAGUACUCUGUAUGUUUCCUACAGAACAUAUUUCCAGAGAGUCCUCUUAGGUGACUAUGAAGACUUAGGUUUGGGUUUUUCUGGUUCUGCAAUUCAUAUUUCUUACUCUGAAAAUUUACAGAUACCUGCUAGUGCUAUUCCAGUGAGAUAAAAGCAUUUGGAAAUUUAAAGGUGCCCACCAGUGGAAACCUUUUCAGUAUCAUAUUACUUAUGUACUACUGCAGUUCAGUUCCCUGAAAGUGUUAACUCAAGUGCGCAUCUGCUAUAAAAAAGCCAAUAGAAUGUUAGGAGUAGUUAAAUAUGUUAUUAAAAAUAGAGGUACUAUUAUUAUAAUACCCUUACAAAAUUGAUAGUGCACCUGCAUUUGGAAUACUGUUUGCAGUUUUGGUCACAACAUCUCAAAAAGGAUAUAACUAGGUUGAAGAANGUUCAGAAGACAGUGACUGAGAAGAUCAAGGAACUGGAGGAAAGGCCGUAACAUCUGGAGAUUUUUAGGGCCUGUUCACACUGAGUGAGUGUCUGCACACUCACUAGCAAUGUGCAUCUGCAUUCCAUGGUCAGUGUGAAAAGGCCCUUAGUCUAGAAAGUAGAUGAGUAAAAGGAGAUAUGAUAGAAGUACAUAGAAUCAAAUAGAAUUAUGCAUGAUAUGGAUAAAGUGGAUAGGGAGAAUGUUUUCUCCCUUUCUCAGAAUACUAGAACCACNGGUUACCAUUGAAUUGGAAUCCUGGACAAGCCAGGACAGAUAAAAGGAAUUUCCCUUUACNCAAUGCAUAGCUAAACUUUGGAAUUGCUUACCUUGAGAUGUGCUGUUGUCUACCAGCUUAGAUGGUUUUAAAAAGGAAAUGGACCAAUUCAUUGAUGUAAGGGAUAUCAAUUGCUAUUAGCCGUGAUAGCAGCAGGAGUGGAGGUGGUAAGCCUCCUAAGGACAGCCACUGCCAGACUGCAAUCGGAGCAAACUGUGUGUUCAUGUCCUGCUGGUGGACUUCCCUAUGAAGCUGGCUGCACACUGUGAAAACAGACUGCUGGACUAGAUGAGCCAUGGAUCUGAUCCAGGGAGGCAUUUCUUAUGUUCUUAUGAUGUGGACCUUGUUAUAGAGACUGCAUUACAGGAACCUUGACCCUC
Molecule: long non-coding RNA, 1429 nt
Filed under: Salvator merianae (Argentine black and white tegu)
Lineage: Eukaryota; Metazoa; Chordata; Lepidosauria; Squamata; Teiidae
Description: lncRNA (ENSSMRG00000017949.1)
Source: RNAcentral